UGCGGAGGGCGCAAGCGUUGGUCGGAAUCAUUGGGCGUAAAGCGAGUGUAGGCGGCUUGGUAAGUCGAGUGUGAAAGCCCGGGGCUCAACCCCGGAAGGUCGCUCGAAACUGCCUCGCUCGAGUCCCGGAGAGGAAGGCGGAAUUCCAGGUGUAGAGGUGAAAUUCGUAGAUAUCGGGAGGAACACCAGCGGCGAAGGCGGCCUUCGGGACGGUGAUCGACGUUGAGACGCGAAAGCGUGGGGAGCAAACAGG
RNAcentral lists this ribosomal RNA (253 nucleotides) under uncultured bacterium. Its description in RNAcentral is "partial 16S ribosomal RNA". It matches the Rfam family "Bacterial small subunit ribosomal RNA", at positions 524 to 776 of the family's 1533-position model. The record is from RNAcentral.